Molecule: ribosomal RNA, 564 nt
Filed under: uncultured bacterium
Lineage: Bacteria
Description: bacterial SSU rRNA
Rfam family: Bacterial small subunit ribosomal RNA
Source: RNAcentral
CCUACGGGAGGCAGCAGUGGGGAAUCUUGCGCAAUGGGCGAAAGCCUGACGCAGCAACGCCGCGUGCGGGAAGAAGGCCUUCGGGUUGUAAACCGCUUUCAGCAGGAACGAAAAUGACGGUACCUGCAGAAGAAGGAGCGGCCAACUACGUGCCAGCAGCCGCGGUGACACGUAGGCUCCAAGCGUUGUCCGGAUUUAUUGGGCGUAAAGAGCUCGUAGGCGGUUCAGUAAGUCGGGUGUGAAAACUCUGGGCUCAACCCAGGGCCUGCAUUCGAAACUGCUGUGACUAGAGUUUAGUAGGGGAGCGGGGAAUUCCUAGUGUAGCGGUGAAAUGCGCAGAUAUUAGGAGGAACACCGGUGGCGAAAGCGCCGCUCUGGGCCAAUACUGACGCUGAGGAGCGAAAGCGUGGGUAGCAAACAGGAUUAGAUACCCUGGUAGUCCACGCCGUAAACGAUGGGCACUAGGUGUGGGUUUCAACUAACGAAAUCCAUGCCGUCGCUAACGCAUUAAGUGCCCCGCCUGGGGAGUACGGUCGCAAGACUAAAACUCAAAGGAAUUGACGG